CCAGCUGAGACCCAACAAAGCCCCAGUCUAUGCCCAACUUCUCCAAAGCACUGUAAAUGCCUUCAGCCUCUGAAACAUUCGAAUCAAUCGUCCUUCCAACACUUCCAUGGUCAAUAAACGCUUGUAGAGCUUGAUCAGGCAUCGUUGACACCUAAACAAGAAGAUAUGAAACACACAUUAACAUUUGAUCCCCACUAAUCCCAUGGCCCUGAAGAUAACAGCCAAGAAAAUCCGUAGUGGCCCUGAAGAUAAAUAGCCGAGCGGCCAUAAGGAAAAGAAGGAAAUAAUUGGUUCAUAUGGCUCACCGUGUCAGGUCCAACAAGAGGGGCGACAUAUAGAGUAUCGGGGUAAGCUGGGUUCUUGACACUGGUUGAAGCCCAGAGCAAUCUUUGCUUUUUAGCACCUUUCUUCACAAGGGCUUCCCAUCUUGGACCAGAGAAUUUCUUCUGGUAAAGUUGGAAAGCUAGAGCUGCUUGAGCAUUUGCAGCCUGUACAGCAGACAACAAAGGGAAAUAACUUCUUUGAUUGAAGGAACGCAUGGUGCUGUUGCAGGAAUUUUGAUGUAUACAUUUGGACGAUCAACCAUUUUGUGCAACCAUUUUGCAGCAUCGACAGUCCCUUGGGUAUCAUCAGCCAGUCGGGGUGAAACCUCAACUGAGACAUAACCAUCCCCUCCAUCAGUUUCAUCAUAGAUUGGCUCAAAUAGUCUGCAAGCAUCUUGGAUAUCUUUUACUACAAGUUCCCAAUAUGCACUUUCAAUGUCUUUCCCUCCCUGUACAAGUUCCCUGUAGUACCAUCAUCAGUCGUUAAGCAACCAAACGCUAAGAUUCAGAG
Long non-coding RNA from Cynara cardunculus var. scolymus (artichoke), 834 nucleotides. RefSeq lists it as uncharacterized. The record is from RefSeq and is a predicted model, not a curated record. The transcript is spliced from 2 exons. NCBI's taxonomy places the organism in Eukaryota, Viridiplantae, Streptophyta, Magnoliopsida, Asterales, Asteraceae.